GGAAGGGUGGCCGAGUGGUUGAAGGCGCUCGCCUGGAAAGCGGGUAUACUGUAACAGGUAUCGUGAGUUCGAAUCUCAUCCCUUCCGCCA
RNAcentral lists this transfer RNA (90 nucleotides) under Alphaproteobacteria bacterium. RNAcentral describes it as "tRNA-Ser". It matches the Rfam family "tRNA". Rfam says of the family: Transfer RNA (tRNA) molecules are approximately 80 nucleotides in length. Their secondary structure includes four short double-helical elements and three loops (D, anti-codon, and T loops). Lineage: Bacteria; Pseudomonadati; Pseudomonadota; Alphaproteobacteria. The record is from RNAcentral.